This is a long non-coding RNA of Fundulus heteroclitus (mummichog), 1471 nucleotides long. RefSeq lists it as uncharacterized. The record is from RefSeq and is a predicted model, not a curated record. Lineage: Eukaryota; Metazoa; Chordata; Actinopteri; Cyprinodontiformes; Fundulidae. The transcript has 4 exons.
UAGUUCAAUAAUUAGCGAGUAUAGUUGACUAAAAUUGAUUCUGCACCUGGUUAACACUUUACACUGAGCCUAGUUCUCGACCGCCCCAAGAUGGCGCCUAUAGGCGAGAGCAGUCAAUGCGGGGGUCUACUCUUUUCUACCUACAUGCUAAGCUAGCAUUAGCACCUCUAUGCUACAUGCUGAACUAACAUUAGCACCUCUCAGAGCCAUAGAGCUAAAAAGAGUCGCGACACUCCCAUUGGACUCCGUUGUACGCCGUUUGCCGCCCACUUCCGGGGUAUGCAGCCUCGCAUAGUUCCAAAAAGCCAUUCUAUGGCGUCGGACAUCAUUCACUUCCAUUGCUGACUCUCGAGUAACUUCUGAGCUCCAGCCAGCAUAAACACCAGUGCAUGCGUCGCUUGUCCUUGGUGGUCAGGCAGCGUGAUGUUGCCAAAUAGCCUCCCCGUUCCCAGAUGGAGCUCCACGCCUGGAGUAAUGGACAUUUCAUCUAAGCGUGCGGAUGUUAGGCAGUGGAAUUUGCAUUUUCUGGAGGGUUUUAUAACCGGUGGUGCCAGUGGUAAAUCUUAUUUUUAUAGCUUUUUUGUCUCCUUUCCCCACCGUAUUCCUCUCUUCUUUUCCUGUCCAAGGGCUGUCAUUUGGUCUCUGUUAAACAUUUGGGUGAACUUCUGAUUAACUAAAUUGUUCCUCUUUCUUAGCGCCAAAUUCAUUCUUUUUUGCUGUGCUAGAGCCCUCUCUGCUCUCCUUCUCAUUAACUUCUCCAUUUUAAGUUGCCUUAUUAGGUCCUCCACAAUUGCACUAUUAGACCCUGGCAGUCUGGUCCCUGGAGCACCUGGCCCUGGCAAAGUUGGUUCAUCGUUGCUGGCUCCUGACUGACUGGCCCUCGGCACACACAUCCCUGGAUCACCUGCCCCUGUGUCCAGGACUCAGAUGAAGAGGAUGUUAGUAUGCGUUGUUGAGAGGAACUGCCCUACAGUGACUGGCCGUAGUGCUUACUGGAACUCCACAGGUGUGAGUCUGAUGUAUGCAAGAGAAAGUAUUUUUCUAGGCAGUCCUGAAUGAACUGGCUUUAAUGAACAUAUUUGUGCCUCUGUCUCAACAGAUCUUGCUGAACCAGCAGUAUCGUUGUUGUGGCCAUCACAGGUUUCAGUGGAGCACCCCAAAAAAAAAUGGUUACGAUACCUGUUCUUAACGCCUGUUUACACAUUUGUUGUUCUUGUUCACACAUGCUGUAUGUAUGUUUGUUGAUAUUAUUCAUGCUUGUUCCCGUUUUUUUUUGUUCCACAUUGUUCAUUUUUAUCUUAUGCCAGAUACCUUUAUUAUUAAUGUUGUCCUUCCCUUCAGCCCUGAUGCACUCUGAAGCCUGAUGUAUGUGGAGGAUUUUUUUUUUAAAUGUAUUUAUAAUAUUCCUCCCUGUUCCUUCACUUUGUUCUUGUUUUUCCAGUUAGAUACAUACAUUUACACACACACACAU